Molecule: ribosomal RNA, 253 nt
Filed under: uncultured bacterium
Lineage: Bacteria
Description: partial 16S ribosomal RNA
Rfam family: Bacterial small subunit ribosomal RNA
Source: RNAcentral
UACGGGGGGUGCGAGCGUUGUCCGGAAUCAUUGGGCGUAAAGCGCACGUAGGCGGUUUGUUAAGUCGGAUGUGAAAGCCCUCGGCUCAAUCGAGGAAGUGCAUACGAAACUGGCGAACUUGAAUAUGGAAGAGGGUCGCGGAAUUCCCGGUGUAGAGGUGAAAUUCGUAGAUAUCGGGAGGAACACCAGUGGCGAAGGCGGCGACCUGGGCCAAUAUUGACGCUGAGGUGCGAAAGCGUGGGGAGCAAACAGG